This 470-nucleotide ribosomal RNA is filed under the name uncultured bacterium. RNAcentral's name for it is "partial 16S ribosomal RNA". It matches the Rfam family "Bacterial small subunit ribosomal RNA", at positions 28 to 507 of the family's 1533-position model. The record is from RNAcentral.
GACGAACGCUGGCGGCGUGCUUAACACAUGCAAGUCGAACGCUGAAGCACCAGCUUGCUGGUGUGGAUGAGUGGCGAACGGGUGAGUAAUACGUGAGUAACCUGCCCUUGACUCUGGGAUAAGCCCGGGAAACUGGGUCUAAUACUGGAUGCUACAUGUCACCGCAUGGUGGUGUGUGGAAAGGGUUUACUGGUCUUGGAUGGGCUCACGGCCUAUCAGCUUGUUGGUGAGGUAAUGGCUCACCAAGGCGACGACGGGUAGCCGGCCUGAGAGGGUGACCGGCCACACUGGGACUGAGACACGGCCCAGACUCCUACGGGAGGCAGCAGUGGGGAAUAUUGCACAAUGGGCGAAAGCCGGAUGCAGCGACGCCGCGUGAGGGAUGACGGCCUUCGGGUUGUAAACCUCUUUCAGCAGGGAAGAAGCCACAAGUGACAGUACCUGCAGAAGAAGCGCCGGCUAACUACGUG